CCCUUAGAUGUCCUGGGCCGCACGCGUGCUACACUGACACUUACACCGAGUUUUUCCAAUGCCGAAAGGCCAUUGGUAAUCAGCAAUAAGUGUCGUGAUGGGGAUAGAUCUUUGGAAUUAUUGAUCUUGAACGAGGAAUGCCUAGUAACCGUAGGUCAUCAGCCUGCGAUGAUUACGUCCCUGCCCUUUGUACACACCGCCCGUCGCUCCUACCGAUUGGGUGCUCCGGUGAAUUGUUUGGACUGCUGUUAGUCUUUUUGGCUGUCGGCGAGAUGCUCUGUGAACCUUAGUACCUAGAGGAAGGAGAAGUCGUAACA
Molecule: ribosomal RNA, 317 nt
Filed under: uncultured eukaryote
Lineage: Eukaryota
Description: partial 18S ribosomal RNA
Rfam family: Eukaryotic small subunit ribosomal RNA
Source: RNAcentral